GAUGAACGCUGGCGGCGUGCCUAAUACAUGCAAGUCGAGCGAACGGACGAGAAGCUUGCUUCUCUGAUGUUAGCGGCGGACGGGUGAGAACACGUGGAUAACCUACCUAUAAGACUGGGAUAACUUCGGGAAACCGGAGCUAAUACCGGAUAAUAUUUUGAACCGCAUGGUUCAAAAGUGAAAGACGGUCUUGCUGUCACUUAUAGAUGGAUCCGCGCUGCAUUAGCUAGUUGGUAAGGUAACGGCUUACCAAGGCAACGAUGCAUAGCCGACCUGAGAGGGUGAUCGGCCACACUGGAACUGAGACACGGUCCAGACUCCUACGGGAGGCAGCAGUAGGGAAUCUUCCGCAAUGGGCGAAAGCCUGACGGAGCAACGCCACGUGAGUGAUGAAGGUCUUCGGAUCGUAAAACUCUGUUAUUAGGGAAGAACAUAUGUGUAAGUAACUGUGCACAUCUUGACGGUACCUAAUCAGAAAGCCACGGCUAACUACGUG
This 496-nucleotide ribosomal RNA is filed under the name uncultured bacterium. RNAcentral's name for it is "partial 16S ribosomal RNA". It matches the Rfam family "Bacterial small subunit ribosomal RNA", at positions 28 to 507 of the family's 1533-position model. The record is from RNAcentral.